RNAcentral lists this ribosomal RNA (494 nucleotides) under uncultured bacterium. RNAcentral describes it as "partial 16S ribosomal RNA". It matches the Rfam family "Bacterial small subunit ribosomal RNA", at positions 27 to 506 of the family's 1533-position model. The record is from RNAcentral.
GGACGAACGCUGGCGGCGUGCUUAACACAUGCAAGUCGAACGGAAAGGCCUGCUUUCCCUUGUGGAUUGCGGGUACUCGAGUGGCGAACGGGUGAGUAACACGUGAGUGAUCUGCCCCCAACUUGGGUAUAAGCCUGGGAAACUGGGUCUAAUUCCCGAUAGGACUGCAGGGUGGUGCCUGUGGUGGAAAACGAUUUUCUAGUGGUUGGGGUUGAGCUCGCGGCCUAUCAGCUUGUUGGUGGGGUAAUGGCCUACCAAGGCGGCGACGGGUAGCCGGCCUGAGAGGGUGGACGGCCACAUUGGGACUGAGAUACGGCCCAGACUCCUACGGGAGGCAGCAGUGGGGAAUAUUGCACAAUGGGCGGAAGCCUGAUGCAGCGACGCCGCGUGGGGGAUGACGGCCUUCGGGUUGUAAACUCCUUUCGACCGCGAGGAAGCCACCUGGUUGGAAGGGUGGUGACGGUAGUGGUAGAAGAAGCACCGGCUAACUACGU